GGAAAAUGCGUGGCUCGUAGUAGGCGCUCAAUUAGUAUUUGUUGACUCUCAGUCCCGGGGAAGGUAAGCCUUUGAGUUGCCGAAGCAGCUUAGCAUUGACUUCCAAAGGACCUCCAAUUCAGACGGCACUCGGGGCUGGCAGGUAACAGGCAGGUGGGCAUCUGUGACCAAGCUUCAGUCGAAGAUCACAAAACGAGAAAAUAUUUUGAACUGAGCAUGCAACAACGUAUGAAAAUGUGUAGAAUGCAGGUAAAGCAGUGCUCGAGAGAAAUGCACAGCUUUCAACAUUUAGAAGAGAAAAAAUAGAGAAUUGAUCUACAGCAGGAGUCUGCAAAUGACGGCCUGUGUGCCAAACCCAGCUUCGUUUUUGUAUUUAUUUACCAAAAUAUUGUCUUACUAAAACAGAAAGCUGUUCUUUUAAAUAGAAUGAAACACAGUUUGGGGGUGGGGGGGUGUCUGGAUUCAGUCCUCAGGCCACCAACUGGCCAUCAAUCUCUGAUUUAGUCCAGUUUCCUCUUUCAGAGAACAAACAUGUUCAUUGGGUAGUGCAGAGCAGUGGUUAGGGCCCAGGCCACCUGACUUUGGGAACAAUACUUCCCCUCCGUAAAGUAAGCCUCAGUCUCCUCAUCUGUAAAAUAGGGUAACGGCACCGGCUGUUUCAGCAUCGUAUGGUUUAGAUGAGUUGACCCAUGCAAACGUCCUAGCACAUAGUAGACCACCUAGUCUCUAUGCCCAUUUGUACGUAGAAAACAUGGACGAACUAAAAUGUUUAAAUAACCAUGUAUUUAUUUGAAUGUGUUCUAAAAAACAAAGUGUAGCUAGCUCACCCCAACAUGUGAGUUCACAGGUGUUAAUACUGCAAAUGCUCCAAGUUUAAAAAUAAAGACGAGUUCAUAUUUUAUACACUUUUUUUCCCACUGUGAUAAGAUUCACCAUUGUAAAGUGUACAGUCAGUGGCUUUUAGUACAGUUGCAAUGUCUAUUGUGUAACCAUCACCGCUAUCUAAUUCCAGGAGGGGAAAAAAAGUUAGUUUUAAAGCCUGCUUAAAAAAAUUAUCAAGUGACUCAAGGAAUAGAGAUUAUUACGAGGGCAGAUGGCCGGCAAAGAUCAUGAGGAUGGUAGCCAGGUAAGCACAGUUUGGGAAUUGGUGGGAGGAUGCCACAGAGCGACACAACCCCGUGUGCUAAAAGGGGACUCAGACCCAGCAAAAGGUAGGGUCUGGCACACCACAGCCCCUCCCGCCUCCAGCCUGACGGCCUCCAGCGCCUGGGUGCCAUCAGAGAAGGGCGACGGGGUUUACAGGAUGGGGAUGAGCACAGAGCCGGGUGAGGGGUCAGAGGGACCCCAGGUGAGCCUUGGGGAAGAGAGAAGAUUGGGCCAGGCCCCCCUGAGGGGGUUCAAGCAGCUCCUUUUCUUGGGAAGAAAAGUUGUGUGUGUUUUUUUUAAUUUCCCUUGGAAAUUGGAAACCCGGGGCGCCUCCCAGGGCUAUAAAAAGGCUGUGUCCACUGACCAGGUUAAAAAUAAAAGAUCCCCACCCAGGGGCACUCUGUAUGGGCGGAGGUGCUAUGUAGGCUGGGCAGCAGCGGUAGAAUUUGUUUUGUGACCUACGACAUGCGUCUGCCUUCUCAGUUAAUGGGGAGAUUUAUGUGGCCGCUAUUAUUUAUGGAGGCUAGCUGUGAGCCCCAGGAGGGCAGGAACAGAGUCUGCUUUAGUCAACACUGUGUCCCCCAAAUCUGAAACCAUCCCUUGCACACAGUCUUGGCUCCAACACCACCUGCUCAGAGAGGCCCUCCUUGGCACCUAGGCCAAAGUUCUCCCUGCUGAGACACUCCCA
Rhinolophus ferrumequinum (greater horseshoe bat) is the source of this 1834-nucleotide long non-coding RNA. RefSeq lists it as uncharacterized. Lineage: Eukaryota; Metazoa; Chordata; Mammalia; Chiroptera; Rhinolophidae. The transcript is spliced from 3 exons. The record is from RefSeq and is a predicted model, not a curated record.